RNAcentral lists this microRNA precursor (100 nucleotides) under Caenorhabditis remanei. The record is from RNAcentral. Lineage: Eukaryota; Metazoa; Nematoda; Chromadorea; Rhabditida; Rhabditidae.
UUGAAAGAAAACGGUCAAUCUGCUAUACAUAAACUUGCCACAUUUCCAGCAUAUAAUGUGGACAGUAGUUGUAUAGUAGAUUGAGGUGGAAGUAUUUCAC